AACUAACAGUAAUUUGCGGCUGUAGAUAUUUUCUAGCUUAGAUUGUUGUCCCUACAUUGUGAAUAUGUUGGAUUUUUAUGAGAUUUGGGAUGUGUGGAGAUAAUAACUUAAUAUACUACAGCAGAAUGCCUCCUUAAAAUUAUGUAUGGGAGACAGCUAAAAAAAUGUUUAAAACUUUAAGGUCAAAAUGAAUAUAAUAAUUAUGAGUGUAGUUGCUAAGUUAGCAUUCUCCUGCCCCCUUAAUGCUAGGGACCAACCACUGCACAAACACACCCUCCAUAGAUAGUGUAUUACUCACACGAACUGUUGAGUCAAAAAGACAUAAUGAGGGCUUAAAAUGCAAGAUUUCAUUGCUCUGCCUGUGGCAGAAAUGUUGACAUGACAUUUUUUUCCCUUAAAAUUUGUCUUUGUUGUGCUUGUUAUUUUAUGGCUAUCUAAAUUUGCUCUCUAUUUCUUUCGCACUCUUUCAAACAAGUGGUUUGGACAAUGGAUAUUUGGAGAUACUAUCUAGUAAUUUUGAGCAUUGGCAGAUCCACAUUAUAAAAAGAGGGGUCAAUUAACCCCUCUUUUUAUAUUAAAAUAUUAUGUAUAUAUACAUAUAAAUGUUUAAUUGACCUCUCAACCCUCUUUUUGAUAAAUAUAAAAA
RNAcentral lists this unclassified non-coding RNA (646 nucleotides) under Hevea brasiliensis (rubber tree). Lineage: Eukaryota; Viridiplantae; Streptophyta; Magnoliopsida; Malpighiales; Euphorbiaceae. The record is from RNAcentral.